AAAAAAAUGUAUUAAAUUUACUCUGAUUUAGAAUUUUAUUAUUUUGUUUUAAAUUGUUUUAAUCAUUCUAACCACUGCCAUGAUUUUAUGCAUUAUUUUUUUUGGAAGAAUCUAUAUACAUGAUGGCUCAUCUAAAAAGGCCAUGGGAAUAUAUGAAAAUACCUUUUGCAAUAUUGUAAACAUUUAGAGCAGCAAGAUUUGUGAAAGUUGAAUCUAUUUAUUACACACCCAGGAAUUUUUUUUUUUUUUGGGGGGGGGGGGGGGGGGGUUGGCACACUGGCCAGUUAUACAUUAGUUAUUGGAGUUAAAGUAAUAUCUCAAUAAUUUUGCUGUAAACACACAUGAUAAUUAUUUUUAUGUCCCACUUUCAGGCAAUAUGUUUUUGGUCUGUGCGUUCGUUUUUCUGCCCCCUUCAGGUUAAAGUUUUUUGGUUCAAGGUAGUUUUUUAUGAAGUUAAAGUUCAAUCAACUUGAAACUUAGUACACAUGUUCUCCAUGAUAUGAUAUUUCUAAUUUAAAUGCUAAAAAAUUAGAGUUUUUACCCCAAUUUCAUGGUCCACUCUACAUAGAAAAUGAUAGUGCGAGAGGAGCAUCUGUGUACUAUGGACACAUUCUUGUUUUAUAAGUUUUUAUAUCUGAUUUUUAAGUAUAAUAAAAUAACAGAAAUUGUAUAAAAAUAGGACAUAAUUAAGCAAAUAUUAUCACAU
This 706-nucleotide long non-coding RNA is filed under the name Mytilus galloprovincialis (Mediterranean mussel). Lineage: Eukaryota; Metazoa; Mollusca; Bivalvia; Mytilida; Mytilidae. The record is from RNAcentral.